UGCGUAAUAGCUCACUGGUCGAGUGACUCUGCGCCGAAAAUUUAACGGGGCUAAACUAUACACCGAAGCUUGGGAUACAUCUAAUGUAUGGUAGGAGAGCGUUCUGUAUGGGGAGAAGUCGUAGCGAAAGCGGCGGUGGACUAUACAGAAGUGAGAAUGCCGGAAUAAGUAGCGAGAAUUAAGUGAGAAUCUUAAUGGCCGAAAGUCUAAGGUUUUUGGAGGAAGGUUCGUCCGCUCCAAGUAAGUCGGGAGCUAAGGUCAGGCCGAAAGGCGUAGCCGAUGCACAUACGGUUGAUAUUCCGUAACCAUCUGUAAUUUAAGCAAAGGGACACUUCAAAAGGGUGUGACCCGGGCGUUGGUUGACCCGGGCGUAAGGGACCGAAAUUAGAGUAGGGAAGCACACUUAGCUGAAGGCGAGAAAAGCUUUGCGUAUAGAAACAGAUGCCCGUACCGCAAACCGACACAGGUGGACAGGAAGAGAAUUCUAAGGCCAGCGGGAGAAGGGUAGUUAAGGAACUCGGCAAAUUGACUCCGUAACUUCGGAAUAAGGAGUGCUCGAAAGAGCCGCAGAGAAUAGGCCCAGGCGACUGUUUAGCAAAAACACAGGUCUCUGCCAAAUCGAAAGAUGAAGUAUAGGGGCUGACACCUGCCCGGUGCCGGAAGGUUAAGAGGAGGAGUGAGAGCUCCGAAUUGAAGCCCCGGUAAACGGCGGCCGUAACUAUAACGGUCCUAAGGUAGCGAAAUUCCUUGUCAGGUAAGUUCUGACCCGCACGAAUGGCGUAAUGAUUUGGGCACUGUCUCAACAGCCCGCCCGGCGAAAUUGUAGUACUGGUGAAGAUGCCAGUUACCCGCAACUAGACGGAAAGACCCCAUGGAGCUUUACUGUAGCCUAAUACUGAAGAUCGGUAAUGCAUGUACAGGAUAGGUGGGAGCCAGCGAAACCCGGGCGUCAGCUCGGAUGGAGGCAACCUUGGAAUACCACCCUUGUAUUGCUGGUUUUCUAACCUGCGGCCAUGAAUCUGGUCGGGGGACACUGUUAGGUGGGCAGUUUGACUGGGGCGGUCGCCUCCAAAAGCGUAACGGAGGCGCUCAAAGGUUGGCUCAGCACGGACGGAAAUCGUGCAUAGAGUGCAAACGCAUAAGCCAACUUGACUGCGAGACCGACGGGUCGAGCAGGUACGAAAGUAGGAGUUAGUGAUCCGGUGGUAUGUGAGUGGAAAUGCCAUCGCUCAACGGAUAAAAGUUACCCUGGGGAUAACAGGCUGAUCUCCCCCAAGAGUCCACAUCGACGGGGAGGUUUGGCACCUCGAUGUCGGCUCAUCACAUCCUGGGGCUGUAUUCGGUCCCAAGGGUUCGGCUGUUCGCCGAUUAAAGUGGCACGCGAGCUGGGUUCAGAACGUCGUGAGACAGUUCGGUCCCUAUCUGUUGCGGGCGUAAGAGAUUUGAAGGGAGCUGUCCUUAGUACGAGAGGACCGGGAUGGACGUACCUCUGGUGCACCAGUUGUCCUGCCAAGGGCAUAGCUGGGUAGCUAUGUACGGACGAGAUAAACGCUGAAAGCAUCUAAGCGUGAAACUCUCCCUAAGAUGAGAUCUCUCAUCCUUUAUGGAGUAAGGGCCCAGAAAGACGAUCUGGUUGAUAGGCCGGAGGUGGAAGUGCAGUAAUGUAUGCAGCUGACCGGUACUAAUAGCCCGAGGGCUUGACCU
This 1704-nucleotide ribosomal RNA is filed under the name human gut metagenome. RNAcentral's name for it is "bacterial LSU rRNA". It matches the Rfam family "Bacterial large subunit ribosomal RNA", at positions 1131 to 2925 of the family's 2925-position model. The record is from RNAcentral.